AGGCCCAUAUAGCAGGCAAACAGUAAGGACAAAGCAGGCUGGUCAUUUCCAAUUGUGCAACUGCAUCCCUAUGUACUCUGAGUUGAU
Long non-coding RNA from Xenia sp. Carnegie-2017, 87 nucleotides. RefSeq lists it as uncharacterized. NCBI's taxonomy places the organism in Eukaryota, Metazoa, Cnidaria, Anthozoa, Malacalcyonacea, Xeniidae. The record is from RefSeq and is a predicted model, not a curated record. The transcript is spliced from 3 exons.